GGAGCAUGUGGUUUAAUUCGAAGCAACGGGAAGAACCUUACCAGGUCUUGACAUCCCUNUGNACAACCNNAGAGAUAGGGCUUUCCCUUCGGGGACAGAGUGACAGGUGGUGCAUGGUUGUCGUCAGCUNGUNUCGUGAGAUGUUGGGGUUAAGUCCCGCAACGAGCGCAACCCUUGAUCUUAGUUGCCAGCAUUCAGUUGGGCACUCUAAGGUGACUGCCGGUGACAAACCGGAGGAAGGUGGGGAUGACGUCAAAUCAUCAUGCNCCUUAUGACCUGGGCUACACACGUGCUACAAUGGACAGAACAAAGGGCUGCAAGACCGCAAGGUUUAGCCAAUCCCAUAAAUCUGUUCUCAGUUCGGAUCGCAGUCUGCAACUCGAGUGCGUGAAGCUGGAAUCGCU
RNAcentral lists this ribosomal RNA (404 nucleotides) under Bacillus pumilus. RNAcentral's name for it is "bacterial SSU rRNA". It matches the Rfam family "Bacterial small subunit ribosomal RNA", at positions 934 to 1336 of the family's 1533-position model. The record is from RNAcentral. Lineage: Bacteria; Bacillati; Bacillota; Bacilli; Caryophanales; Bacillaceae.